AUUUAAAACAAUAAUUUAUUUUAAAUGAUUACAGUGAGACUAUUUUAGUAAUUUUACUAUCUUUAUUAAUCAUUAUCUUUCUUAUCCCACCUACUCCAACCAAUUAUUAUCUUUCUUUAUCAAUCAUUAUCUUCUUAUCCUACCUACUCCAACCAAUCAUUAUCCUUCUUUAUCAAUCAUUAUCUUCUUAUCCCACAUACUCCAACCAAACACUAUUUUUCAUUAUUCUAGACUAACUCCAACCCCCAACCAAACACAAAAAAAUUUUAACCCCACUUUAACCCUGAACUUAACCCUAUUCCUGUAAUAACUACUUUUUUCUUAACCCCGAACCAAACGGAGGCAUAGGGAAUAAAGAAUUGAAUUCAAAAAAAGCUUAUUGUUCUUUUUUUUAGUUAAAAA
Molecule: long non-coding RNA, 402 nt
Filed under: Ananas comosus (pineapple)
Lineage: Eukaryota; Viridiplantae; Streptophyta; Magnoliopsida; Poales; Bromeliaceae
Description: long non-coding RNA (ACOM_LNC033865)
Source: RNAcentral